GAUGAACGCUGGCGGCGUGCCUAAUACAUGCAAGUCGAGCGAACGGACGAGAAGCUUGCUUCUCUGAUGUUAGCGGCGGACGGGUGAGUAACACGUGGAUAACCUACCUAUAAGACUGGGAUAACUUCGGGAAACCGGAGCUAAUACCGGAUAAUAUUUUGAACCGCAUGGUUCAAAAGUGAAAGACGGUCUUGCUGUCACUUAUAGAUGGAUCCGCGCUGCAUUAGCUAGUUGGUACGGUAACGGCUUACCAAGGCAACGAUGCAUAGCCGACCUGAGAGGGUGAUCGGCCACACUGGAACUGAGAAACGGUCCAGACUCCUACGGGAGGCAGCAGUAGGGAAUCUUCCGCAGUGGGCGAAAGCCUGACGGAGCAACGCCGCGUGAGUGAUGAAGGUCUUCGGAUCGUAAAACUCUGUUAUUAGGGAAGAACAUAUGUGUAAGUACUGUGCACAUCUUGACGGUACCUAAUCAGAAAGCCACGGCUAACUACGUG
Molecule: ribosomal RNA, 496 nt
Filed under: uncultured bacterium
Lineage: Bacteria
Description: partial 16S ribosomal RNA
Rfam family: Bacterial small subunit ribosomal RNA
Source: RNAcentral